This 445-nucleotide ribosomal RNA is filed under the name uncultured bacterium. RNAcentral describes it as "partial 16S ribosomal RNA". It matches the Rfam family "Bacterial small subunit ribosomal RNA", at positions 354 to 796 of the family's 1533-position model. The record is from RNAcentral.
GUGAGGAAUAUUGCGCAAUGGAGGCAACUCUGACGCAGCCAUGCCGCGUGCAGGAAGAAGGCGCUACGCGUUGUAAACUGCUUUUAACCGGGAAGAAACCCCAGGACGUGUCCUGGGUUGACGGUACCGGAGGAAUAAGCACCGGCUAACUUCGUGCCAGCAGCCGCGGUAAUACGAAGGGUGCAAGCGUUAUCCGGAUUCAUUGGGUUUAAAGGGUGCGUAGGCGGAGCGUUAAGUCAGUGGUGAAAUCCUGCAGCUUAACUGUAGACUUGCCAUUGAUACUGGCGCUCUUGAGUACGCUUGAAGUGGACAGAAUGUGCCGUGUAGCGGUGAAAUGCUUAGAUAUGGCACAGAACACCAAUUGCGAAGGCAGCUCACUAAGGCGAUACUGACGCUGAGGCACGAAAGCGUGGGGAUCGAACAGGAUUAGAUACCCUAGUAGUCC